Molecule: long non-coding RNA, 270 nt
Filed under: Phoenix dactylifera (date palm)
Lineage: Eukaryota; Viridiplantae; Streptophyta; Magnoliopsida; Arecales; Arecaceae
Description: long non-coding RNA (PDAC_LNC007763)
Source: RNAcentral
GGUAGAUUGCCCUUCGGCAACAGAGGAUCCCAUAGUGGCUGCCAUGACCUUUAACUCUUGAUUGUUAGAUCAAAAAGUUUCUGGGAGUACCAGGCUCUGAUACCACUUGUUGCCCAGAGGUGCAGCCCAAGAGGGGGGGUGAAUUAGGUCUCUUUAAAAAAUAAUUAAAGUUAAAACGUAUGGAGAGUAUGAGUUACUAUUAUCUUAUAGAUUCAGCAGCGGAAAUAAGAUUGCACAAAUACGAUAGUGAAUAAAGUUAGGAAAGCAGUC